Molecule: long non-coding RNA, 3010 nt
Filed under: Gossypium barbadense (sea-island cotton)
Lineage: Eukaryota; Viridiplantae; Streptophyta; Magnoliopsida; Malvales; Malvaceae
Description: long non-coding RNA (GBAR_LNC017627)
Source: RNAcentral
CAAAAAGUAAAAGAAAAACAAAUGAAAUAAAAAAAUAGAAAAAGAGAAGAAGAACAGAAUAGAAACAGAGAAAGAGACGAAAAACAGGGGAAGAAAAAAAGGGAAAGAAAAGAAAAGGGGAAAUUGAGAUUUUUAAGCUUCAAGUUAAUUGGUAAGCUAAAUUUAGUCCUUUUCUCUUCAUUUUGAUGUUUUUUUGGAACCCUAGAGUGAAAUACUCUUGGAUUUAAGUUGAAAAUUUGAAAGUUAAUAGAUUUUUUUUGAGUAGGGUUUAUGUUGAAUAAAUGAUGGAAUUGAGGAUUUAAUUGAUAGAGUUUCUAGUUAGAGUUGAUAAAAGGAUUAAAUUGUGAACUAAACUAUAAGUUUUGAAUUUUAGGGAUUAAAUUGAGGGAAAUUCGAAAUUAGUGAAAAAUGCUGAAAAAAAUUAGUAGAUAAAAUUUAGUUUGGAUGAAAUUUGAAUAGAAAUAGAGUGUGAAUUAAAUUGGAAAAGUAAAUAAAUUUAGUUAGGAUUAAAUUGGAAUUAAAGUAUAAAUUAGAUAGAAAUUCUAUUAUUAUUAUAAAUUAAUGUUGUAAUUGAUGGUGUAAAUUAUUAUUAUUUUCGUAGCUAAGAAGGAACUCGAGGCAUCGGCACACAAAAGAAAGGAGAAGGUUAUUGAGGAAUAAUUGAGCAAAAUUCGGGUUUGUAUUACUAUAAUUCAAAUCUAUUUAUUAUUAUUGUUAUAUUUUAAUUAAAAUGCAUGGUAAGUAGAAUUAGGUAAGCAAUUGAAAUGAUAGUAGUAAUUAGUAAUUAGAAUUUGGUUGGAAAUUAAAUUUAAAAUAUGAAUUAAAUAAAGAGAAUUAAUUUAUGAAUAUUUGUGAAUAUGUGAAUUGUGUAUUGAUUGAAAAGUGGUUUGAAUUGAAUCAAAAUAUGAUUAUAUGUGAUUAUUUGAAAUAUGUAUUGGUAUUAAAUUGUUAAUUGAUUAGAAAGUGGAAAAGUGAUCUUGAAUUGGAAAUGAAAGUGAAUUGAGAAUUUGAAUACCCUAUUAACUAGUCGGGCUAAGUCGGAUAUAGUUGGCAUGUCAUAGGAUUUGGAUGAGUACGGGAUUUAUCGGCCUUGCCGACCAGGCACUUUAUGUGUCGUAUCUCAGGCACUUUAUGUGUCUUAUAUCAGGCACCUCGUGUGUCGUAUCAGGCACCUCGUGUGUUGUUUCAGGCACUUAUAUGUCAUAUACUGAUCAGGUACUAUGUACCGUUUUAGGCACAAUGUGCCGUACUGGUGUGUUGGGUUGAAAUCCGUGUAUCCGUCAAAGUCCAGAUUGUUAAUAGGGUGAAUAAUUGAAUAUGAUAAAAUUUAAAAUUGCGGAUUGAAAUUAAUAUUGAAAAUGAAAGGCAUGAAAUUAAUGCUUAUGUUGUGAUUGAAAUUAUUACAUGUGAUAUGUGAUUGAAAUUGAAGAACAGUUAAAAUUGUAUUGUUAUUGUUAAUUAAUGAAAAUUUAUAAAUUAAUUGAUAUUUAAGAAAUCGAAUAAUUACAUUGCUUGGUAAUUGUAAUUCUUUAUUGCUAUUAUAAUUUGAAUUAUGGUAAUACCACUGAGUAUAAAAUACUCAGCGUACGGUUGUUUUCGUGCGCAGGUUGAAAAGGGGUUAGAGUCUCGGUUCAGCAUCCAAGACAAUCCCGACUCCGACAUAAAAAUUUUGGUGAUGUUUUCUUUCUUUAAGAAAAAGUGGCAUGUACAUAAGAAUUAUAAUAGUUAUUUUGGUAUGUUAUAUAGUUUUGUUGUAAAGUAAGAUAUUAUGUGUUUUGAUGAUUAUGUUAGUAAAUUGGUAGAAGUUCUUUAUGACAUUGGUAUUAAAUUAAAAUGGCUUGAUUAGUUUUAUGUGUUAAUUAGAAAUGAUAAUAGGAUUUUUAUUAAUUAAGUUGUUAUGUCAAUAUGUCAAGUAAGAUUUAAGUAUAUAAAUGCUUUGGUUGAAAUACUGGAAUUGGGUUAGUUAUGUUUGAAAUUUUGCAGGGGGUUAUAUAUAAAAAUAAGCAGAAAUUUUUAUUAAAAAAAACGAAUGAAAUCAAUUAGUAAAAUUAUAUGAAUUUAUGAUUUAUUUUAAUAUGUUGGUUAUUUAUUUAAGAAUUAUAUGUAAAUUGUUUGAUAUGUCCGGUAAUGCCUCAUAACCCUGUUCCGGCGAUGGUUUGGGGUUAGGGGGUGUUACAAAAAUAAAGAGAAUUUUAGAUAUUCCAAUUUGGUCCCAUUUUUAUGUUAGUAAAAUUUGUUAUUUUCCCAUUUUACCCUCAUUUCACUAAUUCUCCUGAUUUUUCUCAGCUUAUGCCGCGCAAAAUAUCUCCUUUUGGGCUUAUUUGCAAUUUAUGUCCCUCCUCAUUUAACAAUUGAGUUAUUUAAUCAUUCUAGUAACUUUUACACAUUUUUUAAUUUAGUUCUUUUCACUUAAUUGACUACCCAAACAUUAAAAUUUUCUAACGAAAUUUUAAUACCAUAUUACUAACAUUUCAUAAAUAUUUAUAAAAAUAUUUUUGACUCAGUUUUACGAGAUCGAGGUCUCGAUAUCUUAUUUUUACCCAUUUUCUUCAAUAAUUUCUUUUUCUAACUAACCACUAAAUCAGUAAAAUUUUACUAUCGAUAUUUUCAUACGAUUUUCCUAUCAUAUCAAUAUUCAUGUAAAAAUAUUAAAAUAAAUUUCUCUUUAAAUCGGAUUUGAGGUUACGAAACCACUGUUCUGAUAACCUUGAAUUUAGGCCAUUACAGUGUUGCAACAUGGAGGCCCUACACUUAGUUCGAAGGGAAGAUCGUUCGCAACAUUACAAGGCUUGUUGCCGCAACAUCCAAGUCCAUAUCCAAAAUUGUUGACAGUUACUCAAGGCCAUGUUGUGGAAACUUGGUCCUUCAGUCUUCAUCAAGUCAAUUUUUAAGUAAGGAUAAUUUUGUCAUUUACCUACUGAGUAUAUGUAACAACUCGAUUUCUAGUGGUGUUGAAAAAUACGGUUUUGAAACCCCAUUUUUGUAAACCGAGUUCGUAAAUAUAAAAUAG